CGGCGGACGGGUGAGUAACGCGUGGGUAACCUGCCUCAUACAGGGGGAUAACAGUUGGAAACGGCUGCUAAUACCGCAUAAGCGCACAGUACCGCAUGGUACGGUGUGAAAAGCUCCGGUGGUAUGAGAUGGACCCGCGUCUGAUUAGCUAGUUGGUGGGGUAACGGCCUACCAAGGCGACGAUCAGUAGCCGGCCUGAGAGGGUGAACGGCCACAUUGGGACUGAGACACGGCCCAA
Molecule: ribosomal RNA, 238 nt
Filed under: uncultured bacterium
Lineage: Bacteria
Description: partial 16S ribosomal RNA
Rfam family: Bacterial small subunit ribosomal RNA
Source: RNAcentral